This 204-nucleotide ribosomal RNA is filed under the name uncultured bacterium. RNAcentral describes it as "partial 16S ribosomal RNA". It matches the Rfam family "Bacterial small subunit ribosomal RNA", at positions 334 to 526 of the family's 1533-position model. The record is from RNAcentral.
UACUCCUACGGGAGGCAGCAGUGGGGAAUAUUGCUGACAAUGGGCGAAAGCCUGAUCCAGCCAUGCCGCGUGUGUGAAGAAGGUCUUCGGAUUGUAAAGCACUUUAAGUUGGGAGGAAGGGCAGUUACCUAAUACGUAAUUGUUUUGACGUUACCGACAGAAUAAGCACCGACGCUAACUCUGUGCCAGCAGCCGCGGUAAUAA